This 90-nucleotide unclassified non-coding RNA is filed under the name Pseudomonas yamanorum. Lineage: Bacteria; Pseudomonadati; Pseudomonadota; Gammaproteobacteria; Pseudomonadales; Pseudomonadaceae. The record is from RNAcentral.
UGUGGGAGCGGGCUUGCUCGCGAAUGCGGUGUGUCAGUCAAUACAUCUGGUGACUGAUCCACCGAAUUCGCGAGCAAGCCCGCUCCCACA